Non-coding RNA from Zonotrichia albicollis (white-throated sparrow), 666 nucleotides. Lineage: Eukaryota; Metazoa; Chordata; Aves; Passeriformes; Passerellidae. The record is from RefSeq and is a predicted model, not a curated record.
GUUUUAGAGACUCCACUCAAGAAGAUGGAUACGGCAGCGCAGUGGUGCAGUUCAAUUUUGGAUUUUGCCUUUAUUGGGAUGUUGCAGAGCAGCACCACUGACCCAUGGAUUGUACCUGACAGUGUUUUAACUGCCACUGGGGCCACCAGACUUGCUGGGAACUGGGAAUCUCCAAAGCCAGCUACCAGGAGCUCCUUCACCAACCUGAAUUGGGCAGUGGCUGAAGUCACCCAUCAGAUGAUGUCGACCAUGGAGGUGCACACGAAGGGUGAAGGUUUCCCUCUGUCCCCAAACUCCAGGGUUUCAUGUAAAAUUGAACAGUGAGAAGAGAACUGACUUUGGGAGAUCUCUUGCAGCAUGGAAACAACGUUCCUGCUGUCCUGGGAAAGAGGGAGAAUGAAGUUCAUCGUGGAACAUUAAAUACAAGUGUUCUGCCAAAGCUGCCCACAGUCUGUUGUUCCUGUCCUAUAUAGAAAAAUAGAGCUCUGUCCAGCUAAAUCAAGAUCGCUACUUUUCCCUCUUCCCUGGAGAAACCUGAGGAAGAAAAGUGUAUUUUUCCUCUGGAAAGCUGCUCCCAACUCUGGUUAGCUGGAGGCCCACAUUUGAAUGGCUGAAUGCUGCAGAAUCUUGGAAGGGCCUGUGUGCAGAGUAAACCACAUAACAGGU